Molecule: ribosomal RNA, 106 nt
Filed under: Bacilli bacterium
Lineage: Bacteria; Bacillati; Bacillota; Bacilli
Also listed under: 3 other names
Source: RNAcentral
UGCAGCGUUAAUAUUGUAGGGGAAAUACCUGUUCCCAUCCCGAACACAGAAGUCAAGCCCUAUGAAGUCGAAUGUACCCGCUGGGGAGAAUAGAAAGACGUUGCUU